AUAAGAAUUCUUCUAACACACCGUCUGAAGGUGCACCUCUCUGAUGGGGGAGGGCAGUUCUUCCUGGUCAGAAGUUGGACCUGGCAUUUGAAAAUCUUGACUGCCUUGUUGAUACCACAGAAUGUGUCACCUGGGAGUCAGACACAUGAGUCCCAGCUCUCUGUCCCAGACUCCGUCUAUGGAACUUGGAUCUCCACCAAGAAAGAAGUAGAACCAAGCUGAGAAUCAUCUCUAGCUCUUGGAGGAUUCAUAGAGCUGCAAAUCAAGAGGCUAACAUCCCAGUGGUUGAGCUCAGCCAGCAGAUUCUUAAUCAUAAAAUCUAUAGUUCCCCUGUCUGCAGCAGAGCAGACAAAUCCCUCAUUUUGAUGGAAAUGAGAGAGUGAAAUGUCCAGACAGCCUGACAAGAGAGGCAGAGAGCUUCCUUCCCAACGUUUAUUUUAUCCUUUCUCAGCCUUCUUGCUUAUCCUCUCUACCCCUCUCAACAAGAGGACGAGGCAUAUAACCAAAAUCUCAGGGCAAACUGUCCUGCAGCUCAUCAAGUGUGUCUUGCCAGACACCAGCCUAAUGAUUUUUGGACAAUUAGGACCAGCCCAAGCAGCCAGGGAUGGAGCAGACCUGCCGCGGACUCUGUCCCCUGUCUUGCCACUGUCUCUAUUGAUCAAGGAGCAUGGUCCCAGCCUCAGGAGUGUGCCUUUGCCAACUGCUCAGCAGGAACAAUCUGAACUCCGCCUUCCCUUUGCUCCGUGUACCUCUCGACAACCACUGGCCUUGUCAGUCAUGCUGAGCAGAGCCUCAAGAGUUGCCAAAUGAACUUGGCCCUGGGCCACCAAUGCUUCUUGAUUCAGAGGAGAUGAGAUGCUCAAAAGCUUUGAACUCAGGAGAAGAAGGGGCCUGGUCUUCUUUAAUAGUUUGAGCAUACCCUGCAGUGGGUUCACUGAAUUAUGUUGUCACAAGAUACUUACAAAAUAGAGUUCAAAUGAUGCCAGGUACUCUACCCACGAACAACUCAGUUGGCCAUACUUGCAAACCCAACCCUGUAGGACAGGAUUUGUAAAUGUUGAUGAGUAGUACCCAUCACUAUCACUGGUGGGUACUGGAGAUGGGCUGGUGGCUCCUGAGCAAGUCAAAGUGAAUUAACAGUCUUGUGAUGGCUAUCCUAAGGUAGUUUCCCAGACUUGAUGUUCUUCCAUGUCUGUGAGGGUAGGCAGGAGGAAAAGAGAGGCAUAGCUAAAUAAGUUUGGGAGUCUCAGUCACUUGGAUGAUGCCUCUAGCCUUAGAUUUUGAUCUGUCAGUGCACUAUAUUGGAGGAGAAAAUCCUUCGGGCAAGGACAUUGCUGCCGAGGAGCAGCCAGUGAAGGCUGCAGAGCUUGAACAACGGCUGAAAAGAUCGUAGUGAAAGAGGCUUCUCCUCUUAUCCUCUCUCCUUCUCCAAACUUCAUUGAUCGCCAGGGAACUCAGCCAAGAGGAUGGGAAUCAAAUACAUCUCAGCAACAAAAAAAGAGCAAGCUACUGAUACUUGCAACAACAUGGAUUAAUCUCAAAAACGUUAUAUUAAGGGAAGAGAAACAGACACAGAAAGUUCAGAUUGUUUCUUUUAUACAGAGUUCGAGAAGAGAGAAAACUAAUCCAUGUGACAGAAAUCAGAGCACGGUUGUCUUCGGGGGUGGGUAGGAAGGCGACAGGAGGAAACUUCGUAGAGUGACGGGAGCGUUCUUUGUUUUGGUCUAGGUGGAGUUACGUGAGUGCAUUGAGCUGUACACUUAGUUGUGCAUUUUAAUGUGUGUUGACUGUGCCUGAAUAAUGUACUGUCAGCAUUAAAACAGAGGAAGAUGGGGUCAGGAAAUACGAGAGAAGCUCUCUUAGCCAGUCUCUCCUUUCGAGUGUCACCGGAAGCCCAGUGCUACAGUUUCCUCCUGACUCGGCAAGGCCAGGAGGGUGGGCCACUCCCUCCCACACCUGCACGCUUCUGCGGCCUCCAGAGGCAGUAGGAUGAAAAAGAAGACAUUUGGACAACUCUGCCCUGUCAACCCCUCUCUGCUCAGAGGUGCACAAAGGCAUGGAGUGUUACAGAGGAAGAAACUUUGAAUGGAGAACACUCAAUUCGAGCCCAUUCAUUAAUAGGUGAAGAAUCCGAGGCCCAACAGCAAGGUGACUUCCUAACUUCAACCAGGCACCACCAUGGAAAAUCAGGGCCUGUUUUGGGUCUCAGUAAUCCGGAAGAACAAUGCACUUCAGGGCCCAAUGUCUAACAGCCGAUUUCCUAGAAGCAACUGCAGAGGGUGAGGACAACCCAAAAUUCAUCUCAUUUCUCAAAGAGAAGACAAAAUUUCUCCCAGAGGACUUUUGGCAGUGUCUGGAGACAUUUUUGUUGUCACAACUUGGGGAUGGGGUAUGGUGGUGCUACUGGAUGCUGGCGUUUACAGGCCAGGGAUACCCCUCAACAUCCUGAAAUGCAGAGGACAGCCCCACAACAAAGAGCUAUGCAGCCCCAAAUCUCAACAGCGCUGAAGUUGAGCAAGCUCCUUUAUUCCUAUUCAUUUCCUGUUGAUUAAUGAUGGAAUUCUUAGAGCGCACUCACGCUUGACGUCUUCAAGCGGUAAAAGGUAUCACUGUCCCCAUGCACUACUACUUUCAAGAAAUGCUGUGUUCAUUAUUGGCUAUUUGUGUUUCUUGAAUUUUAGUGAUUUCUGUAUCACUUUCACUUUUUAGCCGAUCAUCGUUGUAUAAGACAAUUUGUACUCUAGUAUACAGCAACAAAUUGCUUGCCCUGAAUUUACAUUUAGCUGUUUUUCUUUAAUAAAAAUCAAAGAAUUGUGUGUCCUGCCUUUGUAAGUCCUAAACACAUAGCGUAAGUUUUUGCCGACUGUGAAUUUUUAAUACUAACUUCAAAUAAAACAGUUUUUUGGAGACCAUAAUGUCGGUUUUAAAAAAUGAAAAAUCUAAAACCAUCUACUUCCACGUGGAGUAGCAUAGCAGCU
This 2978-nucleotide long non-coding RNA is filed under the name Equus caballus (horse). RNAcentral's name for it is "lncRNA (ENSECAG00000050091.1)". Lineage: Eukaryota; Metazoa; Chordata; Mammalia; Perissodactyla; Equidae. The record is from RNAcentral.